GCAAGAUGAGAGUUUGAUCCUGGCUCAGGAUGAACGUUAGCGGCAGGCUUAACACAUGCAAGUCGAGGGGCAGCAUUAUCUGCUUGCAGAUAGAUGGCGACCGGCGCACGGGUGCGUAACGCGUAUGCAACCUACCCUAUACAGGAGGAUAGCCCGAAGAAAUUCGGAUUAAUACUCCAUAGAAUUGUCAAUUCGCAUGAUUUGACAAUUAAAGAUUUAUCGGUAUAGGAUGGGCAUGCGUUAGAUUAGUUAGUUGGAGAGGUAACGGCUCACCAAGACUACGAUCUAUAGGGGGCCUGAGAGGGUGAUCCCCCACACUGGUACUGAGACACGGACCAGACUCCUACGGGAGGCAGCAGUGAGGAAUAUUGGUCAAUGGAGGCAACUCUGAACCAGCCAUGCCGCGUGAAGGAAGAAGGCGUUCUGCGUUGUAAACUUCUUUUAUUUAGGAAGAAACUCUUGCUCGUGAAGCAAGACUGACGGUACUAAACGAAUAAGCACCGGCUAACUCCGUGCCAGCAGCCGCGGUAAUACGGAGGGUGCAAGCGUUAUCCGGAAUCAUUGGGUUUAAAGGGUCCGCAGGCGGUAUCAUAAGUCAGUGGUGAAAGCCUACAGCUUAACUGUAGAACUGCCAUUGAUACUGUGGUACUUGAGUUCGGUCGAAGUUGGCGGAAUAUGUAGUGUAGCGGUGAAAUGCAUAGAUAUUACAUAGAACACCUAUAGCGAAGGCAGCUAACUAGGCCUGGACUGACGCUGAGGGACGAAAGCGUGGGGAGCGAACAGGAUUAGAUACCCUGGUAGUCCACGCCGUAAACGAUGGACACUCGCUAUCGGCGAUACACUGUC
This 846-nucleotide ribosomal RNA is filed under the name uncultured bacterium. RNAcentral describes it as "bacterial SSU rRNA". It matches the Rfam family "Bacterial small subunit ribosomal RNA", at positions 1 to 838 of the family's 1533-position model. The record is from RNAcentral.